AUGACUAGAUCUAAAGGAAUGUGGGUGUUCUCCCUCCUAGUUUUACUUGCUUUCUCCUCUUAUUCAUAUCAUGCACGAGGAGAUGAAUUGACCGAGGAAAAAAAUCUUGUGAUAGAGUAUUGCAAGAAGCACAUCAUAAAAUAUUUCGGUGACCCAUUUCCAAAACUCAGCAGCAAAUGCUGCGGAAUAGUAUGUUUAUUAAUAGACCUCCAUGCCAUUUGCGAGAAAUUCACUAUCAAGGAUCUGCUUUGGAUUGACCUAGAAAAGUGGGCUACUGUUACACAUGUGUGCGGCAACUCAUUACUUCCAGGGACUAUAUGUGCAGGUUAUGUUGUUCCUCGUUAUGGUCACGAGCCACCUCCAACUGAACACUCAGUGUAA
This 381-nucleotide ribosomal RNA is filed under the name Triticum aestivum (bread wheat). Its description in RNAcentral is "partial small subunit ribosomal RNA". The record is from RNAcentral. Lineage: Eukaryota; Viridiplantae; Streptophyta; Magnoliopsida; Poales; Poaceae.